This 21-nucleotide microRNA is filed under the name Monodelphis domestica (gray short-tailed opossum). Its description in RNAcentral is "mdo-miR-7386p-5p". The record is from miRBase by way of RNAcentral. Lineage: Eukaryota; Metazoa; Chordata; Mammalia; Didelphimorphia; Didelphidae.
AUGUGGAAAAGGUCCUCCAUU